Molecule: ribosomal RNA, 492 nt
Filed under: uncultured bacterium
Lineage: Bacteria
Description: partial 16S ribosomal RNA
Rfam family: Bacterial small subunit ribosomal RNA
Source: RNAcentral
AGUGAACGCUGGCGGUAGGCCUAACACAUGCAAGUCGAACGGCAGCACAGUAAGAGCUUGCUCUUACGGGUGGCGAGUGGCGGACGGGUGCGGAAUACAUCGGAAUCUACUUUUUCGUGGGGGAUAACGUAGGGGAACUUACGCUAAUACCGCAUACGACCUACGGGUGGGAGCAGGGGAUCUUCGGACCUUGCGCGAUUGAAUGAGCCGAUGUCGGAUUAGCUAGUUGGCGGGGUAAAGGCCCACCAAGGCGACGAUCCGUAGCUGGUCUGAGAGGAUGAUCAGCCACACUGGAACUGAGACACGGUCCAGACUCCUACGGGAGGCAGCAGUGGGGAAUAUUGGACAAUGGGCGCAAGCCUGAUCCAGCCAUACCGCGUGGGUGAAGAAGGCCUUCGGGUUGUAAAGCCCUUUUGGUGGGAAAGAAAAGCAGCAGGUUAAUACCCCGCUGUUCUGACGGUACCCAAAGAAUAAGCACCGGCUAACUUCGUG